GAUGAAGAACGCAGCGAAAUGCGAUAAGUAAUGUGAAUUGCAGAAUUCAGUGAAUCAUCGAAUCUUUGAACGCACAUUGCGCCCGCCAGUAUUCUGGCGGGCAUGUCUGUCUGAGCGUCAUUUCAACCCUCAUGCCCCUAGGGCGUGGUGUUGGGGAUCGGCCAAAGCCCGCGAGGGACGGCCGGCCCCUAAAUCUAGUGGCGGACCCGUCGUGGCCUCCUCUGCGAAGUAGUGAUAUUCCGCAUCGGAGAGCGAUGAGCCCCUGCCGUUAAACCCCCAACUUUCCAAGGUUGACCUCAGAUCAGGUAGGAAUACCCGCUGAACUUAAGCAUAUCAAUAAGCGGAGGA
This 348-nucleotide unclassified non-coding RNA is filed under the name soil metagenome. RNAcentral's name for it is "partial contains 5.8S ribosomal RNA, internal transcribed spacer 2, and large subunit ribosomal RNA". The stretch from base 1 to 120 matches the Rfam family "5.8S ribosomal RNA", at positions 35 to 154 of the family's 154-position model. The record is from RNAcentral.